Molecule: unclassified non-coding RNA, 212 nt
Filed under: Salmonella enterica subsp. enterica serovar Paratyphi C
Lineage: Bacteria; Pseudomonadati; Pseudomonadota; Gammaproteobacteria; Enterobacterales; Enterobacteriaceae
Description: isrG
Rfam family: isrG Hfq binding RNA
Source: RNAcentral
GUUUUGCGGCAUCUUCUGCUCUGGUGGCUGCUGCUCCGGCAGCAGUACUGCUUUGCGCCGCCAGUGAUGCGCUGGUAUCAGAUGCGGCGGCGUGAGUGGAUGCCUCCGAUGCUGAUGACGAGGCGGCUGUUGCGCUGGCCGCUGCUGUACUUGCUGACGUUGCUGCAUUUGUCUCAGAUGUUUUCGCUGCGGCUGCCGAUGCGGCUGGCGCC